AUGGUGAAAUCAAAAAUUCAGGAAAAUAACGGGGUGGCAGCAGCUGGAUUGGGGGAUUUGGGUCCCUGCGACGCCGGGGUCUGGGAGCAUCCAGGUGAGCAGGUCCUGAAGGCACAGACCAGGACAGGUGAGCAGCUCCAGGGGCUCAGAUCCCACCAGGUGAGCAGCUCCAGGCUGGAAUUGCUCUUGGUCCUGGUUGGUCUCACCUGGCUGAAGCCAAAAAAAAGAGGGAAAAGCCCCAAAAAUGAGAAGUUUCAUCCCAAGACAGAUCCCAGAGCCACAGGAAGGUCCGGAGCACAGUCUGACCAGUUUGAUGCCAGUGGAGAUGAAGGAGCACAGGUGAGCAGGAAGCACCUGAGGAGCAGCACAGGGAGUUGCAGGUGCUCCAGGAAGUUCACCAGGAACAGCAAAUCCACGGGGGACACCAGGAGCCAGACACCUGAGCACACCUGAGCACACCUGAGGGAUCCUGCUGGCAUGGUGGGAUGGAUCCUGAGGGCUGGAACGGCAGGAACAGGUUCUUUGGGAAACACAGCCAGGUGAGGCUCACCUGGCAUGGGCAAGGAGGCAGCUGGAUGCCCAGAGCCCACCUGAGGUGGGUCAGGAUCACAGGUAGGGGACAGGGACACUCCUGCACCCUCACAUCCCAAAUCCUGGUCCUUGGAGGGGCAGCUGCUGGAGGCACCUCCCAUGAACAUCUCAGGAGGUUCCUGCAGGUACCAGGAUCAGUUCAGGUGAUGGAGGAGCCAGCCAUGAACAUCUCAGGAGGUUCCUGCAGGUACCAGGAUCAGUUCAGGUGAUGGAGGAGCCAGUGAGGAAGUUGGUUCAACCCCCAAAAUUUUCCAGGUGAGUUUGGGGACUCUUGGCUCUCUUGUGCCAGUUCCAGGUGUUUCCAAAUCCAUCCCAGCUGCAGGUGAGUGGGAGCAUGGUCUGGAUGAGGUGGGACGGGAGGCCCAGGUGAAACAUUCAUUAAACAAACAGGAAUUAGGGAAAAAAGGGCUUUUCCCUUAAAAACAAGGAAAGUGGAGGCAGCCAUGGGAUCCAGGACGCUCCAGCUCAGGUGAGUCCUGGCACAGGUAAUCUCUGCCAGGUGGGAUGGAGAACAGGAGGGAUCUGAGAGGCUGCAGCUCAGCUGAGUCCUGGCACAGGUGACCCCAACCAGGUGAGUGAAGGACUCCUGGCCCUGGGCCAGGGACACCCUCUGUCCAGAGCCACCCCCACCAAUUAAAUAAUCAAUCCAUGGAAUAAAUAAUGGA
Molecule: long non-coding RNA, 1256 nt
Filed under: Taeniopygia guttata (zebra finch)
Lineage: Eukaryota; Metazoa; Chordata; Aves; Passeriformes; Estrildidae
Description: lncRNA (ENSTGUG00000024742.1)
Source: RNAcentral